RNAcentral lists this unclassified non-coding RNA (327 nucleotides) under uncultured fungus. RNAcentral describes it as "partial contains small subunit ribosomal RNA, internal transcribed spacer 1, and 5.8S ribosomal RNA". The stretch from base 1 to 73 matches the Rfam family "Eukaryotic small subunit ribosomal RNA", at positions 1759 to 1831 of the family's 1831-position model. The record is from RNAcentral. Lineage: Eukaryota; Fungi.
CCAAACUUGGUCAUUUAGAGGAAGUAAAAGUCGUAACAAGGUUUCCGUAGGUGAACCUGCGGAAGGAUCAUUACCAAAUGUCCGGCCAUCCGUGGUCAGGCGAGACCACGUCCCUUCGGGGACUGAUCUCUACACCCUUUGUGAAAAACCCAAGUUGCUUCGGCGGCUCGCCCCGAACCUUAACCGGACCGGGGCGGUCAGCCUGCCGACAGCCCUCAUGGAAACCCUUUACAAGUUAGCUUUUAUCAAUGUCUGACCAAAAUGUCGAAUGACUAUAAAACUUUCAACAACGGAUCUCUUGGUUCCCGCAUCGAUGAAGAACGCAGC